AGUGGAUGGGGAGCAACCUAGUUGUGCGUGUGUAAAGGUAGUGCCAAGAAAAGCGAUGAUCAUGUUGAAAAUCAAUUCCCGGUACCCGUAACCGACACAGGUGGGCAAGUAGAGAAUACUAAGGGGCGCGAGGUAACUCUCUCCAAGGAACUCGGCAAAAUGACCCCGUAACUUAGGGAGAAGGGGUGCCACCGAGAGGUGGUCGCAGUGAAGAGGCCCAGGCGACUGUUUAGCAAAAACAUAGGUCUCUGCAAACUCGAAAGAGGAGGUAUAGGGGCUGACGCCUGCCCAGUGCCGGAAGGUUAAAGAAGUUGGUCGGUUUUAGGAUGAAGCUAGCGACUGAAGCCCCGGUGAACGGCGGCCGUAACCAUAACGGUCCUAAGGUAGCGAAAUUCCUUGUCGGGUAAGUUCCGACCCGCACGAAAGGCGUAACGAUCUGGGCGCUGUCUCGGAGAGAGGCUCGGCGAAAUAGGAUUGUCUGUGAAGAUACGGACUACCUGCAUUUGGACAGAAAGACCCUAUGAAGCUUUACUAUAGCUUGGAAUUGUGUUCGGGCUUCCUGUGCGCAGGAUAGGUGGGAGGCGUAGAAGGUAUUCUUGUGGGGAUACUGGAGCCAACGGUGAGAUACCACUCUCAGGAGGCUAGAAUUCUAACUUAAUUAAGGACAGUUUCAGGUGGGUAGUUUGACUGGGGCGGUCGCCUCCAAAAAGGUAACGGAGGCGUACAAAGGUUCCCUCAGACUGGUUGGAAAUCAGUCGAAGAGUGCAAAGGCAGAAGGGAGCUUGACUGCGAGAAGUACAGUUCGAGCAGGGUGGAAACACGGUCUUAGUGAUCCGACGGUGCUGUGUGGAAGGGCCGUCGCUCAACGGAUAAAAGUUACUCUAGGAUAACAGGCUGAUCUCCCCCAAGAGUUCACAUCGACGGGGAGGUUUGGCACCUCGAUGUCGGCUCAUCGCAACCUGGGGCGGAAGUACGUCCCAAGGGUUGGGCUGUUCGCCCAUUAAAGCGGUACGUGAGCUGGGUUCAGAACGUCGUGAGACAGUUCGGUCCAUAUCCGAUGUAGGCGUGAGAAUAUUGAGAGGAGCCUUCCUUAGUACGAGAGGACCGGGAAGGACGCACCGCUGGUGUACCUGUUAUGAUGCCAAUUGUAAACGCAGGGUAGCCAAGUGCGGAGAGGAUAACCGCUGAAAGCAUCUAAGUGGGAAGCCCACCUCAAGAUGAGUAUUCUGGUGUAAGGUCACGGGAAGACGACCCGUAAAUAGGCACGAGGUGGAAGUGCAGAGAUGUAUGAAGCCGAAGUGUACUAAUAGACCGUCGGCUUGACCG
This 1326-nucleotide ribosomal RNA is filed under the name metagenome. Its description in RNAcentral is "bacterial LSU rRNA". It matches the Rfam family "Bacterial large subunit ribosomal RNA", at positions 1561 to 2925 of the family's 2925-position model. The record is from RNAcentral.